CCUGCCUCGAUAAAGUGGAUAAAUUGAUACACCAAAAUUUUUAAACACCCUAUUUUAUCUCAACGUACCAGUUGCCAUCAUAUUCCCACCAUUUGAACCAACUAAACAUUUGUAUAAUAUCCCAUUGAUUGCAUAAUCUACUAAUCACGAAAUAUAACAUAUAGUUAAACUUUCAUUUAACCUCCAAAGCAAAAGAAUCAAAUUGCUUUUUCAACCAUGCAGUUGUCUCCAGGUUGACAAAAUUUGCAAAUCUUGCAAUUGCUGCUUUCUUCGCGAAUGAAGCAAUG
RNAcentral lists this unclassified non-coding RNA (287 nucleotides) under Hevea brasiliensis (rubber tree). Lineage: Eukaryota; Viridiplantae; Streptophyta; Magnoliopsida; Malpighiales; Euphorbiaceae. The record is from RNAcentral.